Molecule: long non-coding RNA, 353 nt
Organism: Scophthalmus maximus (turbot)
Lineage: Eukaryota; Metazoa; Chordata; Actinopteri; Pleuronectiformes; Scophthalmidae
Exons: 3
Source: RefSeq, a predicted model, not a curated record
AAUCGGGGCAGCAUCGGCGGUGCAGCCACAGACGUGGUUAGGAGUCAUCUCGUUCGACUGUCGCCUUAAUGGGAGCGGUGGCGGCCUUAAAUGAAGAAGUCUGCGGUUAAUGAAGUUCAACCCUGCUCCACGGUCCUUUGACUCGCCCCAUGGACUCAACUGGUGACAGAAGAUGAAGCUGAUGACACAGAUUAACCAUAUUCAGAAUAACCGAUGGAGUGUAACACACCGGAUAGGCUACUAUUGAGUAAGACUCUGUUAUAGAGCUGCAUUUUUUCAGUUAUUUGCACUGCUAUAAUGUCAGCCUUUUUACUUAUUAUUCCUGGAAAUAGCCCAGAAGUUUCAUUUCAGGC